Molecule: ribosomal RNA, 420 nt
Filed under: uncultured bacterium
Lineage: Bacteria
Also listed under: 1 other name
Description: bacterial SSU rRNA
Rfam family: Bacterial small subunit ribosomal RNA
Source: RNAcentral
UAAGGAAUAUUGCUCAAUGGGAGAAAUCCUGAAGCAGCAACGCCGCGUGGAGGAUGAAGGGUCUAUGACUUGUAAACUCCUGUAAAGAAGGAAAAAAUUCCCAUUAGAUGGGAGAUGAUGGUACUUCUGGAGUAAGCCCCGGCUAACUACGUGCCAGCAGCCGCGGUAAUACGUAGGGGGCAAGCGUUGUCCGGAUUUACUGGGUGUAAAGGGUGCUCAGGCGGAUUUGUAAGUCAGAGGUGAAAUCUUACAGCUUAACUGUGAAACUGCCUUUGAUACUGCAAGCCUAGAGUAUGGAAGAGAGUGAUGGAAUAUCUGGUGUAGCAGUGAAAUGCGUAGAUAUCAGAUAGAACACCAAUGGCGAAGGCAGUCACUUGGUCCAUUACUGACGCUAAAGCACGAAAGCGUGGGUAGCAAACA